This 74-nucleotide transfer RNA is filed under the name Neisseriaceae bacterium. RNAcentral's name for it is "tRNA-Cys". It matches the Rfam family "tRNA". Rfam says of the family: Transfer RNA (tRNA) molecules are approximately 80 nucleotides in length. Their secondary structure includes four short double-helical elements and three loops (D, anti-codon, and T loops). Lineage: Bacteria; Pseudomonadati; Pseudomonadota; Betaproteobacteria; Neisseriales; Neisseriaceae. The record is from RNAcentral.
GGCGGGGUAGCAAAGUGGUUAUGCAGCGGCCUGCAAAGCCGUGGACGCCGGUUCGAUUCCGACCCCCGCCUCCA